GUCACGGUAACAUCUAUUACAUUAUAUUAUGUUUUGGAUCACUCAUCUCCCACACUGCAUGAGGCCGCGGCGUGAACAACCCAGCCAGCCACUGCCACACAAGCAGUUUACCUGGCGGAUCACAGCUGGUGUCCUCAUAGCUCCCUCUGCCGAGCGCAGCAGCUCCGCACUGACAGCAUUUCCAUGGUAAUGACACGCCCACUUUAUAGACAUCCGUCGUACUUGCGCGUUCUAUGGGCGGGGCCUCCUGCGUCAGAACGCGAUGCCUGUACGCCGCACAGCUGGCCGCUAGAGUGAGUUACUGCCUGACUCUACUGGGCCGGCCCAGCCCCGCCGUAACAUAGACGGGCAUCCAGUCUGUGUGCCAGUACGGGCGGCAGGGCCUCCAUGAUCCAUUAGGACCAUUAUAUACUAGCCACGUUAUUGCGCACAUUCUUAAAUGUGCUCCGCUCUUCGUGCCAUGACCAGACUGUCACCUGAAUGACCUGACAAAUCAGCAGUUAGUCACCACCCUAUGGGCAUGAUUCCAAGUCACACGCGAUGGAAAUUUUCACAUUUUCUGCUGAAAUGGCCCAUAAAGCCUACGAUUUGACUAACCAGAGUCACCUUGAAGAAAUAAGAGAUUUUCUGCAGAAUGACGACGAGGGAGACCCAUGAGUUACUGAGGAUAUGGGGGAAGAGAGUGACAUUGAUUCUCAAGAUGAGGUGGAGGAACGUGAAGGUGAUUCAGGAAUGGAGCAAGAUUGUGAGGAGUCUAGUGAUGAUGAUGAUGAUGAUGAUGAUGAUGAAACAGGUGACACCUUUUUUGGGGGGAAAGAUAAGAAGACCAAGUGGUCCAAAAGGCCGCCCGUGAAAGUUCGUCGUAUGGGAACUCGCAACAUUAUCACUCACCUUCCUGGAGUCAGAGGAACUGCUAAGAAUGCUCAAACUGCAGUCGAAUGUUGGAAUAAUUUAUUCACUGACGAAAUCUUUGACACAAUUGUUAGGUACUCAAACCAGUACAUUGACAUUAUCAAGGACUAAUUUGCCAGAGAGAGGGACAUCAGACCCACAGAUGUCAUCGAAGGAAGGGCUUGAAAAGAUUUCGCCCCAUCGAUGAUCGAGAAAAUCCACCCACUCCUGCCUCCAAAAAGACGUAGAUGCAUCACCUGUACUGCAGAAAUGGGUCACAGAAGGAUGUCGAAUUAUGAAUGCCAUAAAUGUCACAAAGCGAUCUGCUUGCCCCAUGCAAAUAUGGUCUGCCAACCUUGCACUGCACUGUGCCAAUGCAUCUCUACUGCUGAACUUUCCAACAGUGAUUCCAAGUGAGACUGACACUGCCGUGCCUAUAUUUCAAAUUUUGUUUGUAAUUUUAAAGUUCAUUUGAUUUUUUUUUUGUCAUGAAAACUGAAGGCAAUGUGGUGACGGGUCUUAAAUUUCAGUAUUUUUUGUUUUACUUACUUUGAGGUGAAUAAAUUAGUUUUUUUUAAUCAAA
Molecule: long non-coding RNA, 1474 nt
Organism: Pseudophryne corroboree (corroboree frog)
Lineage: Eukaryota; Metazoa; Chordata; Amphibia; Anura; Myobatrachidae
Exons: 3
Source: RefSeq, a predicted model, not a curated record